Molecule: transfer RNA, 73 nt
Filed under: Ailuropoda melanoleuca (giant panda)
Lineage: Eukaryota; Metazoa; Chordata; Mammalia; Carnivora; Ursidae
Description: tRNA-Lys (CTT) (tRNA-Lys-CTT-4-1)
Rfam family: tRNA
About the family: Transfer RNA (tRNA) molecules are approximately 80 nucleotides in length. Their secondary structure includes four short double-helical elements and three loops (D, anti-codon, and T loops). Further hydrogen bonds mediate the characteristic L-shaped molecular structure. tRNAs have two regions of fundamental functional importance: the anti-codon, which is responsible for specific mRNA codon recognition, and the 3' end, to which the tRNAs corresponding amino acid is attached (by aminoacyl-tRNA synthetases). tRNAs cope with the degeneracy of the genetic code in two manners: having more than one tRNA (with a specific anti-codon) for a particular amino acid; and 'wobble' base-pairing, i.e. permitting non-standard base-pairing at the 3rd anti-codon position.
Source: Rfam by way of RNAcentral
GCCUGGCUGGCUCAGUUGGUAGAGCUUGUGACUCUUGAUCUCAGGGUCAUGAGUUCAAGCCCCAUGUUGGGCU